UAACGAAUCUUCCGCAAUGCACGAAAGUGUGACGGAGCGACGCCGCGUGUGGGACGAAGCCCCUCGGGGUGUAAACCACUGUCAGGGGAUAGAAAGUUCUGAUCAUCCCCAGAGGAAGGCACGGCUAACUCUGUGCCAGCAGCCGCGGUAAGACAGAGGUGCCAAGCGUUAGGCGGAAUCACUGGGCUUAAAGCGUGUGUAGGCGGAUCGUUAAGUGCUUUGUGAAAUCCCAUGGCUUAACCAUGGAACUGCUUGGCAUACUGGCGAUCUUGAGCGACCUAGGGGCGAGCGGAACAAAUGGUGGAGCGGUGAAAUGCGUAGAUAUCAUUUGGAACGCCAAAGGUGAAAACAGCUCGCUGGGGGUCUGCUGACGCUGAGACACGAAAGCCAGGGGAGCGAACGGGAUUAGAUACCCCGGUAGUCC
This 424-nucleotide ribosomal RNA is filed under the name uncultured bacterium. Its description in RNAcentral is "bacterial SSU rRNA". It matches the Rfam family "Bacterial small subunit ribosomal RNA", at positions 355 to 796 of the family's 1533-position model. The record is from RNAcentral.